AUUGAACGCUGGCGGCAUGCCUUACACAUGCAAGUCGAACGGCAGCACGGGAGCAAUCCUGGUGGCGAGUGGCGAACGGGUGAGUAAUAUAUCGGAACGUGCCCGGUCGUGGGGGAUAACGCAGCGAAAGCUACGCUAAUACCGCAUACGAUCUACGGAUGAAAGCGGGGGAUCGCAAGACCUCGCGCGAUUGGAGCGGCCGAUAUCAGAUUAGGUAGUUGGUGAGGUAAAGGCUCACCAAGCCGACGAUCUGUAGCUGGUCUGAGAGGACGACCAGCCACACUGGGACUGAGACACGGCCCAGACUCCUACGGGAGGCAGCAGUGGGAAUUUUGGACAAUGGGCGCAAGCCUGAUCCAGCAAUGCCGCGUGCAGGAUGAAGGCCUUCGGGUUGUAAACUGUCUUUGUUACGGAACGAAACGGUGAGCUCUAUACGAGUUUAGCUAAUGACGUACCGUAA
Molecule: ribosomal RNA, 460 nt
Filed under: uncultured bacterium
Lineage: Bacteria
Description: bacterial SSU rRNA
Rfam family: Bacterial small subunit ribosomal RNA
Source: RNAcentral